Molecule: non-coding RNA, 421 nt
Organism: Amborella trichopoda
Lineage: Eukaryota; Viridiplantae; Streptophyta; Magnoliopsida; Amborellales; Amborellaceae
Source: RefSeq, a predicted model, not a curated record
CUCGUAUCCUGCAUUACAAGGAUUCACAAAAACUGAGAGACAUGGCUUCAGAGGACUGCCAAGGGAAGAGUUCAUGGCCGGAAUUGGUGGGAACCAACGGUGAAGAUGCCGAGAAGAUUAUCGAGAGGGAAAAUCCAUUGGUGGAUGCUAGAAUCGUGACCGAAGGAUCCUCCGUUGAUCUGCAAUUUCGGUGCGAUAGGGUCUGGGUUUGGGUGAAUGAAGAUGAGACUGUCACACGUGUGCCCAACAUAGGCUAGAAGCCGUAAACGAUUUAUUCAGUUAUUUCUUAGCAUUUGGUUUCUAAGUCACGUGUGUGUUUAUGAAAUAAAGGGGAGCUCCCCAUCUCCACAUGUAUCUAUUUAUUCUGAUUAUCGUUGAUACAGUUAAUGUUAUCGUAUCAAUUUAGUGCUUAUUGUGAAAA